RNAcentral lists this ribosomal RNA (400 nucleotides) under uncultured bacterium. Its description in RNAcentral is "bacterial SSU rRNA". It matches the Rfam family "Bacterial small subunit ribosomal RNA", at positions 356 to 773 of the family's 1533-position model. The record is from RNAcentral.
GGGGAAUAUUGCACAAUGGGCGAAAGCCUGAUGCAGCAACGCCGCGUGGAGGAAGAAGGCCUUCGGGUUGUAAACUCUUGUCUUCUGGGACGAUAAUGACGGUACCAGAGGAGGAAGCCACGGCUAACUACGUGCCAGCAGCCGCGGUAAUACGUAGGUGGCAAGCGUUGUCCGGAUUUACUGGGCGUAAAGGAUGCGUAGGCGGAUAUUUAAGUGGGAUGUGAAAUACCCGGGCUCAACCUGGGUGCUGCAUUCCAAACUGGGUAUCUAGAGUGCGGGAGAGGAGAGUGGAAUUCCUAGUGUAGCGGUGAAAUGCGUAGAGAUUAGGAAGAACACCAGUGGCGAAGGCGACUCUCUGGACCGUAACUGACGCUGAGGCAUGAAAGCGUGGGGAGCAAAC